AUAAAGUGCACCAGCUACGUGUAUACUAAUGAGUUUUUUCUCUCUAACAUGUAAGUUUAGCAACACCCAGUUAAAUCUCCACUUGUUUCUGAUUCCUCUAUCAGAUUGCUGGUGCUUGAGAAACCUCUUGCUACAACAGUUUGAACAGAUCCGGCAGGAGAAGCAGAGAUGUCAGAACAAUAAUAACAAGCCAUUAUUUCAAUAGAGGUUAAACAGAUUUACAGUAGUAAUUACCAGUAAAAGAAAAGCAUAACAAGGGCAAAUAAAAGUGUGUUUCUUCAUGAAGCAUAAUGUAUCUGACCUUCAUGAGGAGUGGCAGAGGCCUUUAAUUUGAAGGACAGCAGUAGAAAAGGGGAUUAAAUCACUUCUUCACUGUUUGUGAAGUUCUGCUUGAAUCUAAUGGUUUUUAAAGGUGCAGUAUUAGAAUAAACUAGGCAGAAAUUUUUGACAUAGAUGCAUAUUCUCAUUUUAAGGGUAGGGAGCCACACUGUAAUGGCUACCAAAAUUACUCAGGAUGGCUUUGAUGGGGAACUGGAAAAAGAAUCUGAAUCUAAGGAUUGUCAAUUCCCAAGUCUCAGACUAUUCACUCUUGAGAGCCUUCUCUCUCCAGAUUGGUUUGUUGACCAGAUGGAAUUUCACAUUUUAAAAAAAUGAAUAUUGUUAUAAAAGGUUCCUCUUUUCCCCAUUAAAAAUAUUAUUAGAUAGCCGAAGCAGCCAAAUGGGAUUUCUGGACAGCAUUUACUGAAAUUCUUUUACAACAGUAUUGCUUAGACUUGGUGCUGUUUUCUUUUUUAAAAGCACGUUUGGUUUGAUUGCUUGAAACAAAUCCGACAGAUGACCUGGAAGACCAAUUUACAAGCCAAAACAAAAGAUGAAUCUGUUAACAAAAGUAUCUCCAGCUGUUUACUUCACUGUGCCCUUGCAUUUUGUGCAUUAAAAUCUUGGCUAUUUUUAUUUGUCUGUACUUGGGGUUUUAUUAUUUGCUACAGUGUUCAGGAUAACGACUACCUCUGGAGAUGUAAAGAACAUAAUAAAGCAGUGGAACCAAUGGGGAUGUUGCCAGAGACUGACUCACUGUAAUUCCAGGGCUGAGGAAAAGGAUGUUUUAUAAUUAGCUCACACUUUUUAUCAAGCUAUUGCCUGCAAAUUUUGAGAAAAUCUGUCAUUCUACCAAAUUAUCUUCUGACAAAUAGAAUGAUUUUUUUUUUUUUUAGAGGUUUCUGGGAGAGUUUAGAAGUAUUCACCUUCAUUAGUUACCACCAAUUAGCUGGUUUUUACUGGGUUUUUUUUUUUACUUGUUUUGGAAAUCUGUGAGUUCCCCAGAUUCCAUGAGCAUUUUUUAGUCUCAUGCAUUUCCUUGGAGGAAUCUAUAAAUUCAAUUUUUCAUUCUACAGUGUUACUGGUCUGAAUAUGUGCUUGUUUCAAUGCAGUUGCGUGGUGGAUUUUUUGAUAAGUUGCAACCUGAUGUCAAAUACUCACUGCAUUGCCGUUUUAAGAAAACUGAAAAGGUAAGACAACCUUAAUUGUGAAAGCUGACUGUUUCUCACCCUUUCUAAGAAUAGGACUUUCCUGGCUUCCCCUUUGUUUUGAAUUACCUCACCACUAUUUAUGUUACUAUUCCUGCUUCCCAUUUUCAGAGAAAUCCUACUUUCUGUUUCAGAGCAGGGCUGUGCUGGUUGGUUCUGCUUCAGGUCUGCAACUAACUGCUAUUUAUAUUAGUUAGUACCCUUAUGCUGUUGCUUAUCCUAUACCAACAGUUUUCAAAAGUGAAAAAAGCAUCUCUGUAUGACAUUUAAUUCACUAGCACAGCUCACGCAUGAUGAAAAGAACCACAGAAGCAUUGCAGGGCUCACCUCUGUGUUUCAUUGCUUGCCAGCAAAGAAAAUCAGCACUGGAGCUCCAUUACAGCUGUGAAAACCUGCAGGUUGUUUAUCAGUAGUGUUUGCUUAACUGUCACUCUGAGCCUUGUUAGUGAGGGACAAGGUUAUGUGUUGCUGGCAAAGUCUCUUCCUUUCCCUGCUCUUCAGAAUAACCAAAGAACAUUUUCUGUUCCAGACCUGCCAGUGUCUUCAGCUGUUUCUAAACUACUCCUCCACUAAUCCCUCAUCUGGGUACAGCCUGACCUAAUUUGCUAUACUCCUGCCAGUUAUGCGUUUCGUAAGGAGAGGUAAGAUGUGGGAUUUGUAUGAAAGGCUUUGUUUUAUUGCACAAGGGUGGAUUGGUUUUCUUUUCAACAAGCCACUUGUUUACAUUUGUGUGCACCUUAAAGCUCUGUCUCUUGAUGCUCAUUGAUUUCUUGAAAACUACUUCUCUUAGGAAUGGGUAAGGUUUAAAGUAAUUUAAAAAGGAAAAGAAGAAAAAAACGCCAACCCCUUGAUUUCUCCUGUUUACACUCUGCUUCCCAAUCUCUGUGUGGUGAUCCUGUGCCAUCCCAGCAGCUUCUCCAUGGUGUCCUGCUUUUUACAGCCCAGUUCCCGAUUGCCUGCGCUGUGCUGGGUCUCCUAUACCCUUGAUUUUGACACGCUUCCUUUUCUCUCCAUUUCUGUUCAGGGCCCUGUCACGCCGGUGGCUUCAGCUCUGCUGCCUUCCCACAGCCAAGCGGCGCCCCGCCCGCCAUGGCCGCACCCGGGUCACCUUUCUCACCUGCCGCCAGCCGCAGCCUGUCGCUUCCCUCUUUGAGACAUCUCCCUGCGUGCCCCGAAGGCAAUAAGAGCCUUUACAUCUGCUUCUGUAUGUGAAAAAUCCUGGGAGAAACUUGACCAUCAUUCUACAGUCCUGAACUGCUAAAGCUUGAAUGUUGAACACUCCCUGUUGUGUUCACAGAACACCAAAACACUGAAGCAUUAAGAUGUCUGUGAUGGAGCUCCCUGCAAUGCAGAGAAGUGGAUUUAACAGCCAGAGCUCUGGAGGCCUGCGUUUCUGCGGCUCACUACAAAGCAUGGAACGUAGGCAGGUAAACAAGUAUUUCAGUAGGAUUCUACCUUCAAAGAAUGAGAUGCAGGCUGUAGGUAGGCAACUUCCAUGUCCAUAAAGAUACCAUCCAUCAGAAGUUGAGGCACAAGAACCUCCACUGACAGCUCAUAGAAUGAAAUACACAGAAUUGCGAUAAGAAGCCAAUAUUCAAGUGAGAUCAGGAAGAUUCCCUUUGGGUACAUACUGAAAAGACAACAAUGACAAAACCUCAAGAGGUCCUAGCCCAUAGUUUGUCUGUAGCUGAUGAUCUUAACACAUGAAAAGCACUUGACCUUGGUGGUUUGGUUGAUUUCUUUUUGCAAACAGACUGUUAGGGUGCAAAGAAGUAUCUGGCAUCACCUUGGACAUAUUUGGAGAAGCAAAACUACAGACAAUCCAUUUUUUCCACUAAGUCACUUCCUUUCUAACUUGGAAGCUACAUGCCAGACACCUAUACUCCACUAAAGACUGCUACCUACUUUUUUAACUAGUUGAAAGAUCAAAAUUCCCUAAAUUGCUUCUGAAAUUUGAAUGCCAUACAGCAAUUCUACCAAAGGGUCAUUAAAAGCAUUUACCUACCUCUUCUGGUUUAACUUCUCUGCUAGUGAAAUCUUUUAUGCAAUCCAGGAAGCAGUUUUCUGUAAUUUUAUUGUAUGUUCCAAGAAACUCCUUGAACUAUAAAUAAAAAUUGGACAAUGAGUAUUAAGAAAAAUUUCUACAUUAACUUUUCUUAUGCACAGCUGCGUGGGCCAUUUGGUGACAGUAACAUUUCAAGAACGAGUCAGUAGAAAAAUUUACUAUUAGUCAGAAGAUGUCAGCACCAAAUGCUGCUAGUAUUCAAAUCAGAUACUAUGCUGUGUCUGUCAAUGGCCCAAAUGUUUAAAUUUUGGUUGCUAUAGAACUAGUCUUAACUCAGGUAACAAAUUUUUGUCCUUCUCCAUGCCGUACACAUUUUACUCUCCGUGACAAAGUAGCCACCACUCAUGAAUACAGCAUCUUACCUGCUUGAUCUGAUCAGCUUCUGAGAUUUGUCCAGCCAUAUUCUUCUGCCUGUGAUUGUGUCACCUGUUCUGAAGACAAAAGUCAAGUUUCACACAAAAAUCAUAUAUAUGAACUGCAGCAUUUUACAACAGAAUGGAAUUUUAUAUUGUGUGUUUAAUGCAACUUUGCUAGCAAACUUUCAAGCCAUCCACUUGAAGGAAAGUUAUCUAUUUUAAAUGCACUCAGUUAAAAAUACCCAGGCAUGAAACCUUCACAGAUACACCUGUUAACUACUGUCCUUUUUAAGCCUUUCAAACAGUUAUAGAAUAAUUUUUUUAAUCACUUUAAAUGCUAUAAAUGCUUUCAAACUCACACAGUAGAACUAGUGGAGUUCUACUGUGGAGUGGGAGGGAGAAGCAAGCAACAAUAUUUUCUAGCCUUAUAGUUUCAGUGACUUUAGAUGCCAUCUGUAAAGACAGUAACGAAGAAAGGCAAGUAUAAGAAUUGUAGCCACUCUGAAUAAAUGCAGCAUAAGCCAGCGUGCAGAGAUGCAGAUGCCUGGUUUCUAUGUAGCUACAUUCUCACCAAACACUUAAACUGGAGCAAAUGUUCUGGUCAUUGAACAUAGUGAAUUAAAUGUAAAAAAACACAGAAGAAUGAGAAUGGCCUUAAAGGAAGUGAAACACACAAAGAAAAAGGGAAGAAUGAACAACCAUGGAUCCAAGAAUUUAAGUGAGCAUCCUCAAGGAAGACUCACAUUCCUAAUCCAACACAGUAAAUAAGGCUUGAAAGCAUCCCUGCUGGUUUCCUAGAAGAAUACUGAAAGAUAGUCUUCCUUUUCCCUUAAUUUACACAUUGUCUAAGACCUAUCCCAGAUUAUAAUGCAAACUAAUAUUACAUGUUAACAAGAAAAAGAUCCUUCAGUUUAAUUCACAUCAACUUGUAGGAGAAAAAUUAGCACUGAAGUGCAAUUUCUUUGUGAAAAAAUUCGUUCAGCCCUCUAGCAAGGGCUACUUACAGUUAAUCCUGUAUUACGUUUUGCCAAAUAUUGAGCAAGACAUUAAUUUAGAAAGCUUAAACUAUUCCAGUUUCUUGGCAGGGGUAAGGGAGAGGGUAAGCAAGCCUUCCGACACGAACAAAGAGACAAUAAUAAUUUGUACAACAGAAAGAAAGCUAAGCAACUAAAAACAGCACUGUGGAGCUCUCACAAGUGCGCACUCUACCAACACUCCCUUCCAGCAGCAAAGGGAUUAUAACAUCUGCUUUUUAGCAAUAUGCUUUGCCACUGCACAGGAAGCCGGUUCAGGGACUGGAGACAAAGAGCACAUGAUAUUAUUAGAUUUAAGAUGCAUACCUCCAUAACCAAGAAUUCGUCGUGGGCAGAUAAGUUGCACAGGUUACUCUUAAGGAGAGCCUAUGGUUGCUUAGAAGGGGCUACUCAGGUUAAUGUACUAUUCUGUUUUAGGAGAAUUGGACAUUACUUCGAUUUGGGAAAACUAAUGAAAAUGGAUGGAGAUCCUGCUUGCCAUUUCUCAGCCUAUUAGAAGGAAAAUCAGUGACAAUUCUAUAAAGUCAGAUUAAGUAGAUUAUUAAACAGAGAGUUAGAAAACACAGACAACAGGAAAGACUUUUGUCCUCUCCCAAACACAGACAGUUAAAGGCUUCAACUGUCAGUGCUGUUUUCUCACACUCAGUAUUGCUUCGUUAUGCUUGUUUGUAACAAACCUCAUCUUUUUGUUGUUCUCCGGCUAGUUUGGCAAGCUUAAAUUCAGAUUUACUGAACUGCAGUUCCACAAAGCUUUUACACUUGCACGUGGGAGAUAGCUCUGAUUUAAAUCAGCACAAAGACACUAUCUGAUUUUAAGUGUCUGAAAGUCUUGUCCCUCUCCAGGUAUUUUACACUUUCCACACAGCUGGCAGUGAAAUGUGUGGCUCUACUGCACCUUUUCAGUAGCUAUAAAUUACAGAUAGUUGCCUUAACAUCUAAAGCUGCACUACCUAAACAUUCCCAGAAUAUCUGGUUUAUUCUUAAAGUCUGUUAAAUGUACCAUUUCAGGUUUUCCUGUUCUUUGUCCCCUUUCUCUCCAGCCUGUGGAACAAGAGAAAAUAGGUGACAGAAGAGCCCAUUACAGGGCUCUGCACCUCAGCUAACACACCACAGAGCUUGCAGAGCUGCUCAAACAACUCCAGCAAGCUUCAGGUUGAAGCCUACAGAGCCUGGAUUACUCUCCUCUGGGCUCAACGUGGUUUGAGAAUUUAGCAUUGAGCUUUUAAACAUGUCAUGAUGAGGAAAGCAGUUAUCUCUGAAUAAACUUCUGUAACAAGG
Strigops habroptila (Kakapo) is the source of this 6259-nucleotide long non-coding RNA. RefSeq lists it as uncharacterized. NCBI's taxonomy places the organism in Eukaryota, Metazoa, Chordata, Aves, Psittaciformes, Psittacidae. The record is from RefSeq and is a predicted model, not a curated record. The transcript has 3 exons.